AUCACCAAUUAUGUUAAGGUAUGUCCCAAAGUAGUUUUGAUUUAUACUUAGUCUUCCUAUGAUUAUGUAUAAUGAGUAAAAGGAUUUAUAUUCACUCCUUUAAGAGACAAUACGGCCCACUUACUCUGUCUAAUGGCAGACGAUUUUACCCGUCAAGGGGAGCACACUGUGCGCAAACAAACGAUCUUAUGUAUACGCUGUCUCUAUAUCGAUGAGCUUAUUGUAGCUCUGGGGCAAAUCCAAUUAAAUAUGUUUAUAUAUUGACACACUGUCAAGUUUUUUUAUAUUCAACUAAGACCUGGAACCUUAUUUUUCUUAUAUACUGUAAUUCUUCAUUUCUUUAUUUUGUAGAAAAAUGUUCAACACAUCACUUUAUACAACGAAAUAUGUUCGACUAUUAAUUGAAAUGAUGAAUGAUGAUAUGUGUACACGAACUUCAUUGUGGUGUCUCCACUAUUCUGAUCACGGGCCGGAAUUGACGCUAUGAAUUGUUCGUGAAUUUGUAUGCCAGUCAAUUAAUAUUGCUAUUAAAGUGGAUUUGUUUGCGAUUUCACAAGUUCCUUGAAAUACGACUGUUAAUUAUUCGAGGACAAGACUAACGUAUAUUGAUUAUCCUUCAUUAUUGGUACCCUUACAACGAACAUUGCCAUCUCUACUGGACCGAGUACUGGUAAAUCAAUGAAAUUGAACUAUCGACGCUUCAUAAAAAAUAAACAUUAUAAAAGCUUACAGAAAUGGUUUCCAUGCAUUAAAGAACUUGCCAAAUUUGCUUUGUUCAGAUGCAAGAUUUGUUCCGUGAUUAUAUAAUCAUAAUUCAUACUCACA
Paramuricea clavata is the source of this 825-nucleotide non-coding RNA. The record is from the annotation of a GenBank genome assembly. NCBI's taxonomy places the organism in Eukaryota, Metazoa, Cnidaria, Anthozoa, Malacalcyonacea, Plexauridae.